GUAAAAUUUGCAGUGUUGAAAUCACAUUGUUAACUUCAACUUGCACUUAUAGUGUAGAUUCCUCUACAGGUAGAGUAGAUUCCUCUACAGAUAAAGUUAAAUUUGCACUGAAGCCUAUGUUAAAAUCCAGAGCUAAAAGUGUAGUGUAAAGAAGGCUCCACCCCUUUUUUUGGAACAACGCAGUUACACAGCCAGACCUCAAGAAUCUGCCCUUGAAGUCAGCGCCAGUUUGAAGAGGCUCCAAUAGAAAGGCAAACGGAUCAUGUUGGUCAAAGUCAAGUUCAGAGGCAUCCAGAAAUUCAUUAGCAUUUCCGAAGCCAAGCUCAGUGAACUGCUUGAGUGUGGUAAGUCUAACUUUAAUUGAAAUGAUUUUGUCUGGUCUGUAAAUCAACUUAAUGAACUGAUAUUCAGUAUUCCUUAAUGCAUUAUGACCUGUGUAGUAGUGGCUUUUGCCCAAAAAUCAUAUUUGAAGUUUGUCUGUUUCUUAACAUUAAUAUUCAAAUAUAUACAGCUUUUAACACUAGAAACGCCGGGCCAUUUUGACUUACUACUAGUGCCACAAGAGGGGUCAAAUGACCCCCAAGCCAUUUGAAUGAGAGGCUGUGCAUUUGCACAUAAUGAUCACUAGGUGGCGCCAAUGAACUAUUACCGCGCAAGCGCCACAUGUGUGUGUGUCACAAGCCUAGUCCUCACGAUUUUGUCAUAAAUGUACAUAUAUGAAGUACAAACAGCCUAUAUUUUCACUAAGGGUUUAAGAUUAAAUGAUGCAAAUAAAGUAAUUAAAUUAAUUGAGAUAUG
Molecule: long non-coding RNA, 798 nt
Organism: Gadus macrocephalus (Pacific cod)
Lineage: Eukaryota; Metazoa; Chordata; Actinopteri; Gadiformes; Gadidae
Exons: 2
Source: RefSeq, a predicted model, not a curated record